GACGAACCGAGCGAUCGUUGUUCGGAAUCACUGGGCUUAAAGGGCGCGUAGGCGGGCUGCCGCGUCCGGGGUGAAAUCCCACGGCUCAACCGUGGAACGGCCCCGGGUACGGGCGGCCUCGAGGAAGGUAGGGGCGUGCGGAACUGUGGGUGGAGCGGUGAAAUGCGUUGAUAUCCACAGGAACUCCGGUGGCGAAGGCGGCACGCUGGACCUUUUCUGACGCUGAGGCGCGAAAGCCAGGGGAGCGAACGGG
This 253-nucleotide ribosomal RNA is filed under the name uncultured bacterium. RNAcentral's name for it is "partial 16S ribosomal RNA". It matches the Rfam family "Bacterial small subunit ribosomal RNA", at positions 524 to 776 of the family's 1533-position model. The record is from RNAcentral.